UAUAUAUAUAUAUAUAUAUAUAUAUAUGUGUGUGUGUGUGUGUGUGUGUAGUAGUAAUAGUAGUAGUGGUGGUAUUUGGACGUUAUUUGCGGCUUAUUUUCAUCAGGAGACGAGCGGAAAAUAUAAAAUUCCAAGCAAUUUUAAAAGAUAUUAAGAAAAUUCCCCCCUCCCCAGCCAAAGUGCUGCAUGACAGAGGAGCGUUGAGUCGGUGGGGGCGCAGCAUUCAUCCAGACGCUGCUCUGUAGCGCAUCGCAGGUACGGGGCUCGGAGAGAGAAAGUGGGAGAAGGUAGGCUGGCCGCCAGAGGAGUGGGGUAGCCCUCAUCUCGGGUAUUGCCCUGAUUUGCAAGUCCAAGCCGCGCUCAUGGCUUUACAGCAAUGCUUUCUCACUCCACCCAGAGGAGACGCGGUGUAAGCGGGGAUUCGGUGAGCUACAGAUAUCGUACUGGCGGAGAGUAGGUUAGAGCAUUCUGUCCUCUUCUUUCCUUUCCCCCACUCCUUUUGGAGACCGCACUGUGUCGUGAUGUCUGGGAGAACUUUCACUUCCUGGGGAACUUCAGACGGCGAGACGGCAGGCCUUCUAUGAGCUGUUCCAGAGAAUCUCUGUGGACCUUGACACAACCAUUCCUAGAGCUGCAAACUGUAUACUCACACACUGCUUCUCCCUUCAAGCAUCUCAACUAAAUUUAAACGCUCUCUCCAGGAAACGGAAA
Molecule: non-coding RNA, 711 nt
Organism: Lonchura striata (white-rumped munia)
Lineage: Eukaryota; Metazoa; Chordata; Aves; Passeriformes; Estrildidae
Source: RefSeq, a predicted model, not a curated record